Molecule: ribosomal RNA, 253 nt
Filed under: uncultured bacterium
Lineage: Bacteria
Description: partial 16S ribosomal RNA
Rfam family: Bacterial small subunit ribosomal RNA
Source: RNAcentral
UACGGGGGGGGCAAGCGUUGUUCGGAAUUACUGGGCGUAAAGGGCUCGUAGGCGGCCAACUAAGUCAGACGUGAAAUCCCUCGGCUUAACCGGGGAACUGCAUCUGAUACUGGAUGGCUUGAGUUCGGGAGAGGGAUGCGGAAUUCCAGGUGUAGCGGUGAAAUGCGUAGAUAUCGGGAGGAACACCAGUGGCGAAGGCGACUACCUGGCCCAUUCUUGACGCUGAGGCGCGAAAGCUAGGGGAGCGAACGGG